GUACACCUUUCGAUGGUUCCCCACCAACACUGGCCACUUUGGAGAUGUCCUGGCAAGUGGAAAAUAUCCAGAUCUUUGUUUCUGGCGUGGAGAAACUUAAAAGACUGGUCACACACAAGAGACAGAGUGCAAAGUAAAAGGGUUUGCUGUUGAGCACUGUGCUUCGUGAGCUUGUGAGCUGUGGGGAUAAGGUUCUUCUUUGUAUUGUUUUACAAUCUAGGUAUAUCUGUUUAACAUGAAAUGCAGAAAAUGACAGGGCUCAGACAGCUACUGCAUCCAGUGACAAAGAUUACUGUCAUCCUGGCUCAUCAGUUAAUUCAUCAUUGGCAAUGGUCCAUUCCAUUUCCUGGUAGCCUAGCAACAGCCAAUGAUGGGGAGGGCUGCUUGCCAUGUGACAAUGGUACAAGGAGGAAUUUUCCCAGGUGACACAGGGUGUUGGAGUAAUGGUAUCUGGCCUGAGACUCCUACAACUUUUCUGGUUCCUGCUGAAUCACAGGACCAAGAUGACUGGCUGCGUCAGCAAAGGGUUCAAGUUCUGACUGGUAGUUUGGACACGGAAAUGGGGUGCAAGCAUCCCUUACACCUGCUGGUAGGCUCUGGAGAGUUGUUUGGGAUUUCUCCAGCACUUCCACAGAGGUGGCUGUAUUUCCACAUUGAGUGAAUCUGCAAAACAGUCUACAGCCUGUACACACUGGGCAAUCAUGAGGAAUUCUUCAAAACAACCUCAGAGUGGAUGCUUGGCUGAAGAUAAACUCACUAGGCAUAGCUUCUGACCAUUUGAAAAGCAGUUGCUCACGCUCCAAGUGGCCAGUGCAUUUCAAGGACAUUGUUGUUGUCCACUUCAGAUGCUUUUCGGGUCUUACAAACAACAAAAGCCCAAUUAAGAAAAUCGAGUGAAGACCAGAAGCCAUCUGUGUCCAAUUUGCAAACUCUUCUUCACGGCUGAAAGUGAAGCUGGUACCAGUUUUCAUUCUACAAAAAGGAACAGUAGAAAAAUGAUAACAGGGGAUUGAGGCUGUGAAGUUCAGUCAAACUCAGGUGGCCAAAGUGGCCUGAAACUUCACCAUUUGGGACACAUUGCAGGCAUCUUCUGAAUAUGAAAUUUAUAAACACUCUCUUGCUAGCAUACAAGCAUUUUCAGUGAGAACCUCAACAUAUAGCUUCUUCCCAACACAGACAUCUGAGGACAAAGCAUUGGACAAUGGAGACCAUGCAGGUGGAUGAGCAACCCAGAAUAUUUCAACUUGCUGAACCAAUGAAGAGACCAUAUGUAUACAUACAUAUAUUGCUUCCUACAAUUGACUAAAGAUGAGUAGAUGAGUAAAAUUCAACCCACUCUAGGGUCCUUCUGUUGCGCCAAAUGAGUUGAUGACAACGAUGUAAUAAAUUUCUAGCCUCUGAUC
Molecule: long non-coding RNA, 1403 nt
Organism: Mastomys coucha (southern multimammate mouse)
Lineage: Eukaryota; Metazoa; Chordata; Mammalia; Rodentia; Muridae
Exons: 10
Source: RefSeq, a predicted model, not a curated record